This 872-nucleotide ribosomal RNA is filed under the name Pseudomonas sp. BA-5. RNAcentral's name for it is "bacterial SSU rRNA". It matches the Rfam family "Bacterial small subunit ribosomal RNA", at positions 60 to 927 of the family's 1533-position model. The record is from RNAcentral. Lineage: Bacteria; Pseudomonadati; Pseudomonadota; Gammaproteobacteria; Pseudomonadales; Pseudomonadaceae.
AGUCGAGCGGUAGAGAGAAGCUUGCUUCUCUUGAGAGCGGCGGACGGGUGAGUAAUGCCUAGGAAUCUGCCUGGUAGUGGGGGAUAACGUUCGGAAACGGACGCUAAUACCGCAUACGUCCUACGGGAGAAAGCAGGGGACCUUCGGGCCUUGCGCUAUCAGAUGAGCCUAGGUCGGAUUAGCUGGUUGGUGGGGUAAUGGCUCACCAAGGCGACGAUCCGUAACUGGUCUGAGAGGAUGAUCAGUCACACUGGAACUGAGACACGGUCCAGACUCCUACGGGAGGCAGCAGUGGGGAAUAUUGGACAAUGGGCGAAAGCCUGAUCCAGCCAUGCCGCGUGUGUGAAGAAGGUCUUCGGAUUGUAAAGCACUUUAAGUUGGGAGGAAGGGUUGUAGAUUAAUACUCUGCAAUUUUGACGUUACCGACAGAAUAAGCACCGGCUAACUCUGUGCCAGCAGCCGCGGUAAUACAGAGGGUGCAAGCGUUAAUCGGAAUUACUGGGCGUAAAGCGCGCGUAGGUGGUUAGUUAAGUUGGAUGUGAAAUCCCCGGGCUCAACCUGGGAACUGCAUUCAAAACUGACUGACUAGAGUAUGGUAGAGGGUGGUGGAAUUUCCUGUGUAGCGGUGAAAUGCGUAGAUAUAGGAAGGAACACCAGUGGCGAAGGCGACCACCUGGACUGAUACUGACACUGAGGUGCGAAAGCGUGGGGAGCAAACAGGAUUAGAUACCCUGGUAGUCCACGCCGUAAACGAUGUCAACUAGCCGUUGGGAGCCUUGAGCUCUUAGUGGCGCAGCUAACGCAUUAAGUUGACCGCCUGGGGAGUACGGCCGCAAGGUUAAAACUCAAAUGAAUUGACGGGGGCCCGCACA